GCCAGGUGAGGUGGCGCACGCCUGUAGUCCCAGCUACUCGGGAGGCUGAGAUGGGAGGAUCACCUGAGCCCAGGAGGUUGAGGCUGUAGUGAGCUGUGAUUUUACCACUGCACUCCAGCCUGGGCAACAGAGUGAGACCCUAUAUCAA
This 148-nucleotide non-coding RNA is filed under the name Chlorocebus sabaeus (green monkey). Lineage: Eukaryota; Metazoa; Chordata; Mammalia; Primates; Cercopithecidae. The record is from Rfam by way of RNAcentral.